CCACCUUCUUCUCCCCUACGCAGUCCACCUCUCUGGUUUUUCCCACGGCAGCUGCAGCUCCAGCCAUGGCGUGAGCGCCAUUCCCUGGCCGAGCAGCAGCCCUACGCAGCGCCCUCUCUCCCAUGGACGCCCAGAAAUUUUUCCCUGUGCCCUCCUCUGCAAACAGCGAGCCCCCUCCUCGCUGUUCCCCGUCGAGCCCGCCGGCUGUUCGUAAAAAUGUGCAGCAAGCCGCAUACUGCCGGCUCGCUGUUUCGUGGAGCCCUGUGGACAGCACGCCGUCGACGCCCGCCGUGUGCUCGCUGUUUUGCGCAGCCCAUCCGCGACGCCGUCGAAAACCGUGCUAGUGGUCGACGUCGUGCCUUGCCCGUUCGACGAAAUACCGAGCCAUGUGGACAGCCAUGCGUCUAGUCACGACCCGUUCAGGACCGAGAGAUGGUGAUCGUGCACGUGAUAUGGUGCCAACCACAGGAUGCCGUUGGUGGACGACCCAAGGAAGGAUGGACUUAACCACUGGAUGCUCGCCAAGCGAGUACCCACCCCAGCAAACACUAU
This is a long non-coding RNA of Zea mays, 552 nucleotides long. RefSeq lists it as uncharacterized. The record is from RefSeq and is a predicted model, not a curated record. Lineage: Eukaryota; Viridiplantae; Streptophyta; Magnoliopsida; Poales; Poaceae. The transcript has 3 exons.